CAGCGGGUGCAAGUCCCGCCCGGCCAACUGAAUCGCUCCGGCCGGAAGCUAUCGGAGCGGCGGUGGAGGUAACGAAGCCGUCGGAGCCUUCGAGACAAAUGUGCCGCCUGGCGGCGCAGCGAGUCGACAGGCCGUAACGCGA
Singulisphaera acidiphila DSM 18658 is the source of this 142-nucleotide non-coding RNA. The record is from Rfam. Lineage: Bacteria; Pseudomonadati; Planctomycetota; Planctomycetia; Isosphaerales; Isosphaeraceae.